This 673-nucleotide ribosomal RNA is filed under the name uncultured bacterium. Its description in RNAcentral is "bacterial SSU rRNA". It matches the Rfam family "Bacterial small subunit ribosomal RNA", at positions 87 to 794 of the family's 1533-position model. The record is from RNAcentral.
GCUGGUUAGUGGCAGACGAGGUAGUAACACGUAGAUACGUACCCUAAAGUCGCGAAUAACUCACCGAAAGGUGUGCUAAUACGCGAUAGUCCCUCCGGGGUAAAGUUUUUCGCUUUAGGAACGGUCUGCGGCAUAUCAGCUAGUUGGUAGGGUAAAAGCCUACCAAGGCUAUGACGUGUAGAAGAGCUGAGAGGCUGACCCUCACCGAUGGGUCUGAGACACGGCCCAUACACCUACGGGUGGCUGCAGUCGAGAAUCUUCCACAAUGGACGAAAGUCUGAUGGAGCGACGCCGCGUGGUUGAUGAAGUGCUUCGGCACGUAAAGACCUUUUAUGAGGGAAGAAGUUUAUUGACGGUACCUCAUGAAUAAGGGGCUCCUAACUCUGUGCCAGCAGGAGCGGUAAUACAGAGGCCCCGAGCGUUAUCCGGAAUUAUUGGGCGUAAAGGGUGUGUAGGUGGUGUAAUUAGUCGGUUGUUAAAGACCUGGGCUCAACCCGGGAAUCGCGACCGAAACGGUUACGCUUGAGUAUGUGAGAGGUAAGCGGAACUCAUGGUGUAGGGGUGAAAUCCGUUGAUAUCAUGGGGAACACCAAAAGCGAACGCAGCUUACUGGCACAUUACUGACACUGAAACACGAAGCGUGGUAGCGAAUGGGAUUAGAUACCCCAGUAGU